AAUUUGGGUCAGGUCAGAUGAAGGAGUAUGAUGAGAAAGUGCUUGUGGAGAUAUACAAGUCCAUAUUGAUGGCGAAGGCGCAGGGGAAUCUCGUUCAACGCGACACCGCUAGCAAGCUUCCUUCUGGACCAGCUGUUGUAUCUGUCUCUCCGGUUGUUAAGUAAUUUUCAGAAACAAAACAAUUCUCCUUUUUCCUUAUAAUAAAAAGAAUAUUAUAAUUCUUGACAUGUUUGAUAUACCUUUCGAGAUUGCUGAUAGGAAAGUUUGCGAUCUUGAUCUGUAUCAAAACUACAAGUAAAAGAAAAUAAAAGAAUACUAGAAAAAAAAUAAGUAAUAGAUGGUUGAUUGUGGGCCUAAAUAAUAAAGUUUAUUUAAUGUGUUCAUUAUUCAUUUAUGAAGUUUUGUUGAAACUAUUCUGAAAUAUAAAGAUUCGCAUUUACAGCUUUUUUUAUAUAUGGUUCCUUGUUGUACCAUUGAUGCCCUAUGUGUUUUUUUUUUAAUAUUAUGAACAACCCUAUGUUAACCUAUAACUAAUCUCAGUUUGUUUACUGCUUUGUGGAAAAUCGGUUGACCACUUUCCCUGAAUGUAAGUGUUAAUGUGUGUGUUAUUUAAUCAUCGAAUCGUACGGAAAUCUUAUGAGGGUGUUGGUUUGGUAUUUGUUAUUUUCAAGUGGAUAAGUGAUGAGUCUAUAUGAGUCAGCAAGCAUGUAUCAAGAACCUAAAUACCUAAUCAUGUGAACUACCGGGCCUAUACCUUUUCAAUGAAAGCAUCACACAAAAGUAUAUACUACACUAUUAAAAGCAUAAUUAGAUGUUUAUACUACACUAUUAAAAACAUAAUUAGAUGUUCAUCAAUAGUAUAUAAUAACCAAGUAAAUGGGAAACUAUCAGACGACAUGAAGUCCAUUAUCUUUGGCUAAUCUUUAGCGGUCUAUUUUAAUAUAAUGUAAGUUUUAGAAUUUUCACAUGUGUUAAUAAAAUAUAUUAAAUGGUUGUUAUUUCAUGCAUUCUUUUGAAAUUAACUAUUUUUUAUAAUUUUUAACCGAUAAAAUUUUAAUAAACACAACUAUUUUUUUGAAGUUUACAGUAUCAUUGAAUCACUUAUUAAAAAUGUAAAAACAUAUUUUUAAAACAUGAAAUUUAUUUUUUGAAAUUGAGGGAGUAUAUCCAAAGAUGUACAAGAAUGUACAUAAUUAGUAUAUAACAUUCGUUGUAAAAAAAUAAAAAACAUUCAUAUAGAGAGAGUUACUGGACAUGUCGAAAGAAAUGAGUUAUUGGACUUGUCAGAGAAUGAUUCUUUGAAAAUGGACAAUAGUAAGCCUAGGCUUAACUAAUUGGGCUUAAGAAGUUUGAAGCAUACGAAUGGGCCUAAAGGGUAUAUUUUCAUAUUUUCCCGGAUAUCAAAUAGCCUCGGGUUUGGGAAACAGGCUGCAAGAGUCGUGGGAAACGUAAGGGUCAAUGUUUUCUUUAAUCGUAUAGUAUCGACUGUAAACCUAAAGUUACAUGAUGAAGAAAAGUUCAAGUACUAAAGUCUAAAGCACAUGGUUUGAUGCAGCUAUCGAUUCUCGGCAUACGGUACUUUCACUUCUGAUCAAUCUUUCACUUUUAUUUUUCUCCUCGAAGUUGGUAAAAUAUAGAAUAGGGCUAACUCCUAAACAUUUAACUAGGUUCUUGCUUAUGGCCCAAGCAAUCAAAUACAUAUAUAUCAAUUUUAUUUUAAGCUAAAACCCUAAAAGAUAAAGGUACGAUUUAAAACAAAACCACACUAACAGUAAGAUUUAAACUAAAUCAAGAAAAUUAAUGCCUUUGUUUAAAUCAACAUUUAUCCUACUCAAUUAAAUAUCUAAACGAAAACUUACUACUUUGUUUAUAUACUAAUGCCUCUCUAUAAUACAUACGUUAACAUGUGUACUUUUGAAGUAACGUUCAAAUUAUUAAAACCGAGUAUAUAAUUUAUUAACCAGGGAGUUGACCAAAUAACAUAAAGUCCCCGUAGGCGAGUAGUGAACGAACACUCCACCGUUAUUGUGGCACAUGGAGUUUUGUGGUCGGUCCAUAAAAGAAAACAAGUUAUACAAUAUGAAACAUUUGUUUAUUGAUUAUGUAAUCUUGUGUCACGAAUAAUUCAUUACAUUAAAUGAAUGAAUUGUGCAAUUCAUUUUCUAUUAAACUCUUGAAAUAUGUAUACUACAGUUAUACAAUGACAUAUGAACCAUUCAUGAUUUGACCCCCCCAAAAAAAGAACCAUUCGUGAUUGUUACCAAAAUAUGGGUUUACUUGUUGUAUAUUGAUUCGCAUUUGUCUCUUCGAGUGAACAUUGUUUCCUUAUAGAAGCAUUUCUAGUUUCAUACAAUGGGACAUCUCAACUAUAACACUGGGAUAUUAUUUAAAUGUCCAACUAUAAUAUUUAAAUUUAAAGAAGAAGAUGAUGGCUACAAGGUGUUAAGUAGGUUACAUACCUACUGAUUAUAAAAAAAAAAUUUGUUUGGGUUUGAAAGAGGAUGAAGAAGAAUUUUUCCUUGGCUUUAAGUAGGCUGCGUACAUAUAAUAUUACCGACAAUUUUCUUCAUGUGAAUUGCAAUACAAUAAUCCAGUGAUAAAUGAAAAUGUAUGUAAAGAUCACUCAAGAUAUCGUAUACAGUAUAUGACAAUGAUUUGUUAACAGAUUAGUCUCAUCAAAUAUGCAAACUACACAACAAAUUUUAACAUAAUUCCCUAAAUCAAGCCAAGAAAGUGUACCAGCUUGCUUUUAAAAUAUCCUAUUUCUGGUCAAAUAUCCAACAUCCGCUAUAAAAUUGAAGAUUUAGUUAUUUGUGUGCUUUCAGUUCUUAUUUCCCAACACGAACAACAAUAAGUAGACAAAAAAAAUACGGUUCAGAGUUUCACAGGAAAAUAAUGUUCCUUGUAUCUACUACUCAUCCGUCAUAAAUCAUGAAUCAUGGGGUUCACUUGAUCCAAAAAUCUCCACUUUAUUGCAUCAAUAGACAAAUUACUCGUAGUAUAAAGUUUUAAAUGCAUCCCUUGAUAUAUGAAUGUAAUUAAGUUAUAUUGGCACUAAAUUAAUUAGCCCUGGACAUUCGGGUAUUGGGUUCAGUUUCGGGUAAGAACUAUUUGGUUCUGGGUAUAUCGGAUAAAUCAUUCUUAUAUCCAAUAGGUACUUAUGAAAUUUCGGUUUAGUUUGGUUUCGAAUACCCAUUUAAUAUACGAAUCAAAUAUAUAUAUAUAUAUAUAUAUAUAUAUAUAUAUAUUAGUUAACAUGUUAAUUUAAGUGGUCUAAUGGUUAAAUACUUGUAUAAUUGUGAAUCCAACUAGUUUGAGUCACUAAAGUGUUGCUUUAUAAGUAUUUAUUGUAUUUUAAUAUAGAAAUACCAUAUAUAUAAUAAAAGUGAAUACAUAAGUAACAAUGUUUUCACUCUUUUUGUCAAACUCAAGUUCGAGAGUACAUAAACUUGUUUUUUUUCGGAUAUCCGGGUAUCCGUUUGCUUAUCAGUUUGGUUUUGGUUUCAAUUCGGUUAUUCAGGUAUUUGAAAGUUUUGGUCCGGUUUCAGUUCAGUUAUUCGGGUAUUUGAAAGUUUUGGUCCGGUUUCGGUUUCGGAUAAUUUGGUUCGGUUCAGGUUCGGUUUUUUGGUUCCCAUUUUUUUGCAGAACCGAACAAAAACAAACAAAUUAGAUCAUCGUUAAUACACAAACAAAUUUACUUGUUCCAUUUGCAUUAGAACAUCCUUAAUACACAAACACACCACCGCAUAAUUAAUUUCGGUUCAAUAGACCAGACCGGGUUAUCCGGAUGGAUAGUUAGUCAAAGGACGGCGAUGGUUUUGGUGUUUGAAGUGACACAUUAACCGCCUAACAGUAUCAACUAUUUUAGACAAACAGAGUUAAGCACGUAACGUAAUGAAGAUCUAAUUUAUCAAUAGACUAAUGAAUCUUUCAGUCUUUGUUUUGUUUUCGAAUCUGAUUAGUUUAGAAAUGUCUGUGACACUUGUACGGCUAUACCGAUAUAUAUUUCUAACUUAUAAGAAAUGCAUAUAUAUAAUUAAACGACUGAUGUUUGAUUUGGAUUUUGGUUCGCGUUUGGUUUGGAAUUUUCUAAUAUUAGUUCAAGUGCAGAUUCGGAAUUUAGACAUAAACCUUUUAAUCUUUGAAUGAAAAUUGAAGUUUAUAUAAUGUAAGUUCGUAUAAUACAAGAUACUAUUAGAAAACCAUUUUGAAGUAAUUUGAUGUCAAAAUUAAUGAUCUUUACUGCUAAAAUUUGGGUCAGGUCAGAUGAAGGAGUAUGAUGAGAAAGUGCUUGUGGAGAUAUACAAGUCCAUAUUGAUGGCGAAGGCGCAGGGGAAUCUCGUUCAACGCGACACCGCUAGCAAGCUUCCUUCUGGACCAGCUGUUGUAUCUGUCUCUCCGGUUGUUAAGUAAUUUUCAGAAACAAAACAAUUCUCCUUUUUCCUUAUAAUAAAAAGAAUAUUAUAAUUCUUGACAUGUUUGAUAUACCUUUCGAGAUUGCUGAUAGGAAAGUUUGCGAUCUUGAUCUGUAUCAAAACUACAAGUAAAAGAAAAUAAAAGAAUACUAGAAAAAAAAUAAGUAAUAGAUGGUUGAUUGUGGGCCUAAAUAAUAAAGUUUAUUUAAUGUGUUCAUUAUUCAUUUAUGAAGUUUUGUUGAAACUAUUCUGAAAUAUAAAGAUUCGCAUUUACAGCUUUUUUUAUAUAUGGUUCCUUGUUGUACCAUUGAUGCCCU
RNAcentral lists this long non-coding RNA (4732 nucleotides) under Brassica napus (rape). RNAcentral's name for it is "long non-coding RNA (BNAP_LNC008304)". Lineage: Eukaryota; Viridiplantae; Streptophyta; Magnoliopsida; Brassicales; Brassicaceae. The record is from RNAcentral.